Molecule: ribosomal RNA, 759 nt
Filed under: uncultured bacterium
Lineage: Bacteria
Description: bacterial SSU rRNA
Rfam family: Bacterial small subunit ribosomal RNA
Source: RNAcentral
AUUGAACGCUGGCGGCAGGCCUAACACAUGCAAGUCGAGCGGUAACAGAGAGUAGCUUGCUACUCUGCUGACGAGCGGCGGACGGGUGAGUAAUGCUUGGGAAUAUGCCUUAUGGUGGGGGACAACAGUUGGAAACGACUGCUAAUACCGCAUGAUGUCUACGGACCAAAGUGGGGGACCUUCGGGCCUCACGCCAUAAGAUUAGCCCAAGUGGGAUUAGCUAGUUGGUGAGGUAAUGGCUCACCAAGGCGACGAUCCCUAGCUGGUUUGAGAGGAUGAUCAGCCACACUGGGACUGAGACACGGCCCAGACUCCUACGGGAGGCAGCAGUGGGGAAUAUUGCACAAUGGGCGCAAGCCUGAUGCAGCCAUGCCGCGUGUGUGAAGAAGGCCUUCGGGUUGUAAAGCACUUUCAGUAAGGAGGAAAGGUUAAGUGUUAAUAGCACUUAGCUGUGACGUUACUUACAGAAGAAGCACCGGCUAACUCCGUGCCAGCAGCCGCGGUAAUACGGAGGGUGCGAGCGUUAAUCGGAAUUACUGGGCGUAAAGCGUACGCAGGCGGUUUGUUAAGCGAGAUGUGAAAGCCCCGGGCUCAACCUGGGAACUGCAUUUCGAACUGGCAAACUAGAGUGUGAUAGAGGGUGGUAGAAUUUCAGGUGUAGCGGUGAAAUGCGUAGAGAUCUGAAGGAAUACCGAUGGCGAAGGCAGCCACCUGGGUCAACACUGACGCUCAUGUACGAAAGCGUGGGGAGCAAACAGG